Molecule: ribosomal RNA, 828 nt
Filed under: Epicoccum nigrum
Lineage: Eukaryota; Fungi; Ascomycota; Dothideomycetes; Pleosporales; Didymellaceae
Description: eukaryotic LSU rRNA
Rfam family: 5.8S ribosomal RNA (bases 134-287)
Source: RNAcentral
GCAGACUUCGGUCUGCUACCUCUUACCCAUGUCUUUUGAGUACCUUCGUUUCCUCGGCGGGUCCGCCCGCCGGUUGGACAACAUUCAAACCCUUUGCAGUUGCAAUCAGCGUCUGAAAAAACAUAAUAGUUACAACUUUCAACAACGGAUCUCUUGGUUCUGGCAUCGAUGAAGAACGCAGCGAAAUGCGAUAAGUAGUGUGAAUUGCAGAAUUCAGUGAAUCAUCGAAUCUUUGAACGCACAUUGCGCCCCUUGGUAUUCCAUGGGGCAUGCCUGUUCGAGCGUCAUUUGUACCUUCAAGCUCUGCUUGGUGUUGGGUGUUUUGUCUCGCCUCUGCGUGUAGACUCGCCUUAAAACAAUUGGCAGCCGGCGUAUUGAUUUCGGAGCGCAGUACAUCUCGCGCUUUGCACUCAUAACGACGACGUCCAAAAGUACAUUUUUACACUCUUGACCUCGGAUCAGGUAGGGAUACCCGCUGAACUUAAGCAUAUCAAUAGACGGGAGGAAAAAUCAUUACCUAGAGUUUGCAGACUUCGGUCUGCUACCUCUUACCCAUGUCUUUUGAGUACCUUCGUUUCCUCGGCGGGGUCGCCCGCCGGUUGGACAACAUUCAAACCCUUUGCAGUUGCAAUCAGCGGUCUGAAAAAACAUAAUAAAUUACAACUUUCAACAACGGGAUCUCUUGGGUUCUGGGCAUCGAUGAAAGAAACGCAGCGAAAAUGCGAAUAAGGUAGAUGUUGAAUUUGCAGGAAAUUCAAUGGAAAUCAUCCAAAUCUUUUGGAACGCCAUUUGCGCCCUUGGGGUAUUUCCAUGGGGGGCAAUGCCUGG